UUGUGCAUGUUGUGGUUUGGCUUCAUGGCCUUUCAGUGGCAGCAGGCCACACUUGACAUUACUGCAUUACUAACACUCGUCCGCAGACAUGGGCGUGUGUUGUGGUGUGUUAUUUAACGGUUCUCAGGAAAGCUGUCCUGCCUGACGUCAUGUUUAUCGAGUAUCAGGAAGUAAAACUUGUUUAAAAAACAACAACAACAACAACAAACAGGCGUGCAGUUCCUGUUUUAAGUGUCUAUGCUUACUGCUGACAGAUGAGGACGACAUGAAGAAGCCAGUCUGCUCUCUGUAAGUGCUUCAGCUGUUCAUUCACAUCCUUCAGCAUGAGUUUACAACUGCGCUGCUUAUACACUCACAGAUACAGCUUGGCCUUGGUCAUGACCACUCUGCUACUUGCAGCUGCAUCUGCGAUGAACAUCCAGGCUGUUUUGGGUCACAGCGUUACUUUCAGAUGUCCUUCGAACCACAGCGAACCUGUUGAAGGCUUGUACGUACAGAAAGUUAUAAACAAUAAAGACGAGUACAUCAACGGGUUUUUUUAUAAAG
Cyprinus carpio (common carp) is the source of this 546-nucleotide long non-coding RNA. RefSeq lists it as uncharacterized. The transcript has 4 exons. The record is from RefSeq and is a predicted model, not a curated record. NCBI's taxonomy places the organism in Eukaryota, Metazoa, Chordata, Actinopteri, Cypriniformes, Cyprinidae.